RNAcentral lists this transfer RNA (84 nucleotides) under Gemmatimonadaceae bacterium. RNAcentral describes it as "tRNA-Leu". It matches the Rfam family "tRNA". Rfam says of the family: Transfer RNA (tRNA) molecules are approximately 80 nucleotides in length. Their secondary structure includes four short double-helical elements and three loops (D, anti-codon, and T loops). The record is from RNAcentral. Lineage: Bacteria; Pseudomonadati; Gemmatimonadota; Gemmatimonadia; Gemmatimonadales; Gemmatimonadaceae.
GCUCGGGUGGCGAAACGGGUAGACGCGAGGGACUUAAAAUCCCUUCCCGGCAACGGGGUCCCAGUUCGAGUCUGGGCCCGAGCA